This 1339-nucleotide long non-coding RNA is filed under the name Mus musculus (house mouse). RNAcentral's name for it is "long non-coding RNA chr5:120426859-120428198". Lineage: Eukaryota; Metazoa; Chordata; Mammalia; Rodentia; Muridae. The record is from RNAcentral.
GCCUCUGGGGAAGGUAAAGAGCGGGAGUCACUUUCUGUCCUGCGUGCUUGGGAUCUCUGGGCCACGGGGCUUACUUAGCAUUAUCAAAACAGAGUCCAAUUUCCCAGCUGACACCCUAGCUGUCUUCUUAUCUGGUAACCUAAGGGUGCUGCCAUCCCGUUCCCCUCUUCAUCGCCCCCACCACCACCCCCAACCGCUGCCCAGCAGUCUGGGCAGGAGGCUCAGACCUGCCAGGCUCAGAUAUUGGACCAGGUGUUUUUCAGACUAAACACUCCUCCGCUGUCUCGGGAAACGUCUUACUGGUGUAUCUCCCAACCCUCGAAGGUAAAGAGGAUGAAAUCCUGGCCGGUUCGGAAAUGUCCCAGGACCGCCCCGCACAGUUUAAAAGGCAGUUAAUUCCGAAGGUUUCAUGGUGCAGGAGGAUCCAGAGCCCUAUAACGAUGCUCUGGAAACCCAGUAGUCCAUCCACAGUGUUGCGCUAGGGCACAUGAGCCUUCCCAGUUCUGUCACCCGUGUCCCUCUUAGGCCAGAACACUGUCCCUACUAGGACCUGGUCUCCGAACUCCGUUCAGGUCUGUGGGGCCUGCUAGAGCCCAAGAAUUCUCAUCCACUCGCACCCCAACUCACUCUUCUCGGCCUGACCUUGACCCACACAGAACAGCACCGGAGUGCACCCGGCUGGGCUUGGAAACCCAAGGUUUGUCGUUCCUAUGGCAGAGACUAGAGACAGGGUCAUCCUGAAGUACCAGGCGGGCGCUUCACUCCGGCCUGGUCUCCACGCCCGCUCCUACCCCGGGCCUAUGCCUCUGGGCGGCGGGCCGUGCGCGACGGGAUGCUGAGUGUCUGUGCGCGGGGCCGCCUAUAUUUACACCCAAAACAAAAUAAUUACACUCUUGUCGGAGGGAGAAAGCCAGUGAUUAGGCGCAGGCUCUUUGCGGCAAAGCAGUUUCUCAGUGGUACACCAGUAUAAUUUUUCACGGCUGGCUGAAAUCAAAGAGGGGAAGUAAUGAAUCCGGAGAGCAAUUUAAAUUUACAAUUUGUAACGCCGCCGCCGCUGCCGCGCAGACCCGGCCGAGAGCGCAGCUCCCAGGCGCUCGCUGCGUUUGUUUAAUGUUAAAGCUUCGCUGGCUCUUGGUGGGGGAGUUGGGGGGGGGGAUGAGGAUACGUGAUGGGGGGGGGGGUAAAUGAUCAAGGUCGGGAGAAGACCGGCUGCUGCGACACCUGAGAUGCUUCCGGGAGAAAAGGGCAGGGGCAAAGCUCCUGGAUUUCCCCUUCCCCUUCCCCACCCCCGCCCCCGCCCCGCGCGCGCGCUGUUGGAGCCUCCAGUCUGCCCCUUCUC